UCGUGCUAGACGGGGAGCUAGCGGUGCCCUGUACCCGCAACCCGCUAUAGCGGGGUCGAAUUCCCCCUCGAGGGUCGGCGCUUUUUGGGACUGCCGCGGCUAAGUGGCGUUGAAGGUUGGGUCCUGCGCGGCGGGAGCCUAUGAACCCCGUCAGGUCCGGAAGGAAGCAGCGGUAAGUAGCAACUCCUGGGCGCCGCAGGGUAGCCUGGCCGGAGCUGGCUGGCCUUGGCAAGCUGGAGAGACCGAUUCGACAGGGGGUGCACGA
RNAcentral lists this signal recognition particle RNA (265 nucleotides) under Anaerolineales bacterium. RNAcentral describes it as "signal recognition particle sRNA large type". It matches the Rfam family "Bacterial large signal recognition particle RNA". Rfam says of the family: The signal recognition particle (SRP) is a universally conserved ribonucleoprotein involved in the co-translational targeting of proteins to membranes. Archaeal SRP consists of a 7S RNA and homologues of the eukaryotic SRP19 and SRP54 proteins. The record is from RNAcentral. Lineage: Bacteria; Bacillati; Chloroflexota; Anaerolineae; Anaerolineales.